This 456-nucleotide ribosomal RNA is filed under the name Penicillium sp. FL-2010u. RNAcentral's name for it is "eukaryotic LSU rRNA". The stretch from base 86 to 238 matches the Rfam family "5.8S ribosomal RNA". The record is from RNAcentral. Lineage: Eukaryota; Fungi; Ascomycota; Eurotiomycetes; Eurotiales; Aspergillaceae.
UCACGCCCCCGGGCCCGCGCCCGCCGAAGACACCCCCGAACUCUGUCUGAAGAUUGAAGUCUGAGUGAAAAUAUAAAUUAUUUAAAACUUUCAACAACGGAUCUCUUGGUUCCGGCAUCGAUGAAGAACGCAGCGAAAUGCGAUACGUAAUGUGAAUUGCAAAUUCAGUGAAUCAUCGAGUCUUUGAACGCACAUUGCGCCCCCUGGUAUUCCGGGGGGCAUGCCUGUCCGAGCGUCAUUGCUGCCCUCAAGCCCGGCUUGUGUGUUGGGCCCCGUCCUCCGAUUCCGGGGGACGGGCCCGAAAGGCAGCGGCGGCACCGCGUCCGGUCCUCGAGCGUAUGGGGCUUUGUCACCCGCUCUGUAGGCCCGGCCGGCGCUUGCCGAUCAACCCAAAUUUUUAUCCAGGUUGACCUCGGAUCAGGUAGGGAUACCCGCUGAACUUAAGCAUAUCAAUAA